RNAcentral lists this ribosomal RNA (446 nucleotides) under uncultured bacterium. Its description in RNAcentral is "SSU rRNA". It matches the Rfam family "Bacterial small subunit ribosomal RNA", at positions 26 to 518 of the family's 1533-position model. The record is from RNAcentral.
AGAGCGAACGCUGGCGGCAGGCUUAACACAUGCAAGUCGAGCGGGCGUAGCAAUGCGUCAGCGGCAGACGGGUGAGUAACGCGUGGGAACGUACCUUUUGGUUCGGAACAACCCAGGGAAACUUGGGCUAAUACCGGAUAAGCCCUUACGGGGAAAGAUUUAUCGCCGAAAGAUCGGCCCGCGUCUGAUUAGCUAGUUGGUGAGGUAAUGGCUCACCAAGGCGACGAUCAGUAGCUGGUCUGAGAGGAUGAUCAGCCACAUUGGGACUGAGACACGGCCCAAACUCCUACGGGAGGCAGCAGUGGGGAAUAUUGGACAAUGGGCGCAAGCCUGAUCCAGCCAUGCCGCGUGAGUGAUGAAGGCCCUAGGGUUGUAAAGCUCUUUGUGCGGGAAGAUAAUGACGGUACCGCAAGAAUAAGCCCGGCUAACUUCGCGCCAGCAGCCGC